Molecule: long non-coding RNA, 2327 nt
Filed under: Citrus x clementina
Lineage: Eukaryota; Viridiplantae; Streptophyta; Magnoliopsida; Sapindales; Rutaceae
Description: Citrus clementina (C. clementina) long non-coding RNA (CCLE_LNC001669)
Source: RNAcentral
CGGAAAAUGGCCAAAAACGGGUGGGCUAUAGCCUUGGUGGGGGGCGUGGGCGAAGUUCGUCCGCCGGACUCGGAAUGGCCCCAGACUUUGCGGGCGGCCUCCGUGUGCCAAAAAUAGGCCACGGGAACACCCGCGCCCAAAAUUCAGCCCCCGAAGGUCGGGGCGCCAAGACCCCCCAGCGGAAAAAUGGCCAAAAAACGGGUGGGCUAUAGCCUUGGUGGGGGGCGUGGGCGAAGUUCGUCCGCCGGACUCGGAAUGGCCCCAGACUUUGCGGGCGGCCUCCGUGUGCCAAAAAUAGGCCACGGGCACACCCGCGCCCAAAAAUCAGCCCCCGAAGGUCGGGGAGCCAAGACCCCCCAGCGGAAAAAUGGCCAAAAAACGGGUGGGCUAUAGCCUUGGUGGGGGGCGUGGGCGAAGUUCGUCCGCCGGACUCGGAAUGGCGCCAGACUUUGCGGGCGGCCUCCGUGUGCAAAAAAUAGGCCACGGGCGCACCCGCGCCCAAAAAUCAGCCCCCGAAGGUCGGGGCGCCAAGACCCCCCAGCGGAAAAAUGGCCAAAAAACGGGUGGGCUAUAGCCUUGGUGGGGGGCGUGGGCGAAGCUCGUCCGCCGGACUCGGAAUGGCCCCAGACUUUGCGGGCGGCCUCCGUGUGCCAAAAAUAGGCCACGGGCACACCCGCGCCCAAAAAUCAGCCCCCGAAGGUCGGGGCACCAAGACCCCCCAGCGGAAAAAUGGCCAAAAAACGGGUGGGCUAUAGCCUUGGUGGGGGGCGUGGGCGAAGUUCGUCCGCCGGACUCGGAAUGGCCCCAGACUUUGCGGGCGGCCUCCGUGUGCCAAAAAUAGGCCACGGGCACACCCGCGCCCAAAAAUCAGCCCCCGAAGGUCGGGGCGCCAAGACCCCCCAGCGGAAAAAUGGCCAAAAAACGGGUGGGCUAUAGCCUUGGUGGGGGGCGUGGGCGAAGUUCGUCCGCCGGACUCGGAAUGGCCCCAGACUUUGCGGGCGGCCUCCGUGUGCCAAAAAUAGGCCACGGGCACACCCGCGCCCAAAAUUCAGCCCCCGAAGGUCGGGGCGCCAAAACCCCCCAGCGGAAAAAUGGCCAAAAAACGGGUGGGCUAUAGCCUUGGUGGGGGGCGUGGGCGAAGUUCGUCCGCCGGACUCGGAAUGGCCCCAGACUUUGCGGGCGGCCUCCGUGUGCCAAAAAUAGGCCACGGGCACACCCGCGCCCAAAAUUCAGCCCCCGAAGGUCGGGGCGCCAAGACCCCCCAGCGGAAAAAUGGCCAAAAAACGGGUGGGCUAUAGCCUUGGUGGGGGGCGUGGGCGAAGUUCGUCCGCCGGACUCGGAAUGGCCCCAGACUUUGCGGGCGGCCUCCGUGUGCCAAAAAUAGGCCACGGGCACACCCGCGCCCAAAAAUCAGCCCCCGAAGGUCGGGGCGCCAAGACCCCCCAGCGGAAAAAUGGCCAAAAAACGGGUGGGCUAUAGCCUUGGUGGGGGGCGUGGGCGAAGUUCGUCCGCCGGACUCGGAAUGGCCCCAGACUUUGCGGGCGGCCUCCGUGUGCCAAAAAUAGGCCACGGGCACACCCGCGCCCAAAAAUCAGCCCCCGAAGGUCGGGGCGCCAAGACCCCCCAGCGGAAAAAUGGCCAAAAAACGGGUGGGCUAUAGCCUUGGUGGGGGGCGUGGGCGAAGUUCGUCCGCCGGACUCGGAAUGGCCCCAGACUUUGCGGGCGGCCUCCGUGUGCCAAAAAUAGGCCACGGGCACACCCGCGCCCAAAAAUCAGCCCCCGAAGGUCGGGGCGCCAAGACCCCCCAGCGGAAAAAUGGCCAAAAAACGGGUGGGCUAUAGCCUUGGUGGGGGGCGUGGGCGAAGUUCGUCCGCCGGACUCGGAAUGGCCCCAGACUUUGCGGGCGGCCUCCGUGUGCCAAAAAUAGGCCACGGGCACACCCGCGCCCAAAAAUCAGCCCCCGAAGGUCGGGGCGCCAAGACCCCCCAGCGGAAAAAUGGCCAAAAAAUGGGUGGGCUAUAGCCUUGGUGGGGGACGUGGGCGAAGUUCGUCCGCCGGACUCGGAAUGGCCCCAGACUUUGCGGGCGGCCUCCGUGUGCCAAAAAUAGGCCACGGGCACACCCGCGCCCAAAAUUAAGCCCCCGAAGGUCGGGGCGCCAAGACCCCCCAGCGGAAAAAUGGCCAAAAAACGGGUGGGCUAUAGCCUUGGUGGGGGGCGUGGGCGAAGCUCGUCCGCCGGACUCGGAAUGGCCCCAGACUUUGCGGGCGGCCUCCGUGUGCCAAAAAUAGGCCACGGGCACACCCGCGCCCAAAAUUCAGCCCCCGAA